UACAGAGGUCCCAAGCGUUUGUUCGGAUUCAUUGGGCGUAAAGGGUGCGUAGGUGGCGCCGUAAGUGGGGUGUGAAAUUUCGGAGCUUAACUCCGAAACUGCAUUCCAUACUGCGGUGCUUGAGGACUGGAGAGGAGACUGGAAUUCCUGGUGUAGCGGUGGAAUGCGCAGAUAUCAGGAGGAACACCGGUGGCGAAGGCGGUUGCCUGGGGGCUUUGCUGACGCUGAUGCGCGAAAGCGUGGGGAGCGAUCCGG
Molecule: ribosomal RNA, 255 nt
Filed under: uncultured bacterium
Lineage: Bacteria
Description: partial 16S ribosomal RNA
Rfam family: Bacterial small subunit ribosomal RNA
Source: RNAcentral